UGAGUUUGCUGUUUUGUGUCCAUUGACAAACCGAGUUUCUCGUUUUCUUUCCAUUUUGCUGAGUUGCUUUUUGUUUAGAUUAGUUUGAGUCUAGUGUUAGUACUGUGUUGCUGAGUUCUUGCACGCUGAGUUUAGUUCUUUUGUUUGCAGUCCGAGCUUGAGUCGUAGUGGAGUCGUUUUGUUUUCUUUUAUGUCUUUCAGUUGAAUUUCUUGGCAAUGAAUUCACAAAUUCACAAAGUUG
RNAcentral lists this long non-coding RNA (241 nucleotides) under Daucus carota (carrot). RNAcentral describes it as "long non-coding RNA (DCAR_LNC002972)". The record is from RNAcentral. Lineage: Eukaryota; Viridiplantae; Streptophyta; Magnoliopsida; Apiales; Apiaceae.